Cinara cedri is the source of this 841-nucleotide non-coding RNA. Lineage: Eukaryota; Metazoa; Arthropoda; Insecta; Hemiptera; Aphididae. The record is from the annotation of a GenBank genome assembly.
AUGUAUUUUAGGCUUGGCAUUGGGUUAUGUUUACUCAACUGUAUUUUCAAUUUAAUAAUUAAGUUAAUGCUCGAUAGACAAUAUUUUGGAUAAUUAUAGACAAAAUGUGUUAAAUCUAAUCGAAGAAUUACAUAAUACUUUGGACAUGAAGGAAUUGAGUGGUAAUCAAAAUGAAUAAACUCGUGUACUGCCAAAUUAGAACGAAGUACCUAUAAUUGAUCACUGCAAUUAAACAAGAAAAUGUAUGUUUGACGGUUUAUUUUUUUUUUAAUUAUAUACUUACUUUAAUACAUGUGUAAAAACUAUAAAUUAAAUUGAAAUAUCUUUUUACAAUGAAUUUAUUUUCAAAUAUUCCGCAAACCGUACUUACUGAAAAUUGUAUCCGUGCAUCGAUGAGUUUUACGUCCAAUAUGGAACUUCUAAUGAAAUUAUAUUUUUUUAACAAUAAUGAAUUCCUCUAAGUCAUUUUUUUUUUUUUCAAACGAUUUUAUACAGUUGUAAUUAAGAGUUAAGAUAAAAAUAUUUAAAACUAUUACCGUGUGCCCGUUCCCCGCUCGUUAACUCGAUAUACCUACUAUAAGAUUACGAAUUAUUAUUAUUGUGAUUAAGUAGGUGAUUUCAAAAAAAAAAAAAAAAAAAAAUGGUUUUCCUAUCCAUACGAAAACGGUUCUUCAAAGGAUAUCAGGUACUAAUACUUUGGCAACAAAUAGACAAAUAAAUGUGGUAUUUUCUAGCCUAAUGCAAUUUAGUAUUGAUAGUAAUGUAUAUAUAUUAUUAUGCAUACGUAAUAAUAUUAUACAGGUAUUAAUAAAUUGUCAUUUAUAGGUGUAUAUAUUUUAUG